RNAcentral lists this ribosomal RNA (460 nucleotides) under uncultured bacterium. RNAcentral describes it as "partial 16S ribosomal RNA". It matches the Rfam family "Bacterial small subunit ribosomal RNA", at positions 338 to 795 of the family's 1533-position model. The record is from RNAcentral.
CCUACGGGUGGCAGCAGUGAGGAAUAUUGGUCAAUGGGCGCGAGCCUGAACCAGCGAAGUAGCGUGAAGGAUGACUGCCCUACGGGUUGUACACUUCUUUUAUAAAGGAAUAAAGUGAGGCACGUGUGCCUUUUUGUAUGUACUUUAUGAAUAAUGAUCGGCUAACGCCGUUCCAGCAGCCGCGGUAAUACGGAGGAUCCGAGCCUUAUCCGGAUUUAUUGGGUUUAAAGGGAGCAUAGAUGGGUUUUUAAGUCAGUUGUGAAAGUUUGCGGCUCAACCGUAAAAUUGCAAUUGAUACUGGCAGCCUUGAGUACAGUUGAGGUAGGCGGAAUUCGUGGUGUAGCGGUGAAAUGCUUAGAUAUCACGAAGAACGCCGAUUGCGAAGGCAGCUUACUAAACUGCCACUGACAUUGAUGCUCGAAAGUGUGGGUAUCAAACAGGAUUAGAUACCCGUGUAGUC